GACGAACGCUGGCGGCGUGCUUAACACAUGCGAGUCGAACGGAAAGGCCCUGCUUUUGUGGGGUGCUCGAGUGGCGAACGGGUGAGUAACACGUGAGUAACCUGCCCUUGACUUUGGGAUAACUUCAGGAAACUGGGGCUAAUACCGGAUAGGAGCUCCUGCUGCAUGGUGGGGGUUGGAAAGUUUCGGCGGUUGGGGAUGGACUCGCGGCUUAUCAGCUUGUUGGUGGGGUAGUGGCUUACCAAGGCUUUGACGGGUAGCCGGCCUGAGAGGGUGACCGGCCACAUUGGGACUGAGGUACGGCCCAGACUCCUACGGGAGGCAGCAGUGGGGAAUAUUGCACAAUGGGCGGGAGCCUGAUGCAGCAACGCCGCGUGCGGGAUGACGGCCUUCGGGUUGUAAACCGCUUUCGCCUGUGACGAAGCGUGAGUGACGGUAAUGGGUAAAGAAGCACCGGCUAACUACGUG
RNAcentral lists this ribosomal RNA (468 nucleotides) under uncultured bacterium. RNAcentral describes it as "partial 16S ribosomal RNA". It matches the Rfam family "Bacterial small subunit ribosomal RNA", at positions 28 to 507 of the family's 1533-position model. The record is from RNAcentral.